GUUUAGUUUUUAUUUUUUGAAAAUGCUUUGUUUUACUUGAGUUUUUAUUAGUUUCAGUAUUAGUUUGAGUCUUUUUUGUAACAUGGGUUAGUUGUCAGGGGCGUCAGUCAGGAUGUUCUUGCGUAUGGUACUGACCAGCAGCUAUCGGGGUCGCUGGUGGAAGCAGUGCAUCACUGUUUUCUGCCCUCCGGUUGUCUUGGCUCCAUCAUGCUGCCUGUCCGGGGGUUAGCUUCUGAUUCAGGGAAAGGGGGCUGGGCGCUCUGCCUUUCCUUGACAAGCAGAGAAAUCCUCCCGACUCUCCAGGAGCUGAAGAGCGCUCCAAACUGACCACGGUGUAUGAUAAGAUCCAGGGACAUCGCAUCACUCCUGCAGAAACAGAAGCUUGUUACUGAGACUAAACUGCAAACUCCUCACAUGCAUGAGCAGCUAUCUAACACAGUUUACAAUAUUAACCUUCAAUGUUAAACUGCAGCUUCUGUUACUGUUAUUGUUACGCUGACUGUGUGUUUACAUUCAUUGCUCUUUAUACUGCUGUAAUAAAAUGUGUCUCAAAGUG
Notolabrus celidotus (New Zealand spotty) is the source of this 556-nucleotide long non-coding RNA. RefSeq lists it as uncharacterized. The transcript has 2 exons. Lineage: Eukaryota; Metazoa; Chordata; Actinopteri; Labriformes; Labridae. The record is from RefSeq and is a predicted model, not a curated record.